CAAGAUAGAGCUUGGCAUAAGCGUUUUACUUACACUAAAAAGUUAAUUGUGAAACUCGAUUUUUCUUGA
This 69-nucleotide transfer RNA is filed under the name Saperda tetrastigma. Its description in RNAcentral is "tRNA-Val". The record is from RNAcentral. Lineage: Eukaryota; Metazoa; Arthropoda; Insecta; Coleoptera; Cerambycidae.